ACACGACUACAUUAGAUACCCGGGUAGUCCCAGCCCUAAACGAUGCGUGUUAGGUGUAUCGGUGACCACGAGUCACCGAGGUGCCGAAGGGAAACCGUGAAACGUGCCGCCUGGGAAGUACGGUCGCAAGGCUGAAACUUAAAGGAAUUGCGGGGGAGCACCACAACGGGUGGAGCCUGCGGUUUAAUUGGACUCAACGCCGGGAAGCUCACCGGAUAAGACAGCGGAAUGAUUGCCGGGCUGAAGACCCUGCAUGACCAGCUG
This 264-nucleotide ribosomal RNA is filed under the name uncultured archaeon. RNAcentral describes it as "partial 16S ribosomal RNA". It matches the Rfam family "Archaeal small subunit ribosomal RNA", at positions 717 to 982 of the family's 1478-position model. The record is from RNAcentral.